UACGGAGGGUGCAAGCGUUAUCCGGAAUCAUUGGGUUUAAAGGGUCCGCAGGCGGUCAAUUAAGUCAGUGGUGAAAUCUCACAGCUCAACUGUGAAACUGCCAUUGAUACUGGUUGUCUUGAAUUUAGUUGAGGUGGGCGGAAUACGUUAUGUAGCGGUGAAAUGCAUAGAUAUAACGUAGAACACCGAUUGCGAAGGCAGCUCACUAGGCCUGGAUUGACGCUCAGGGACGAAAGCGUGGGGAGCGAACAGG
RNAcentral lists this ribosomal RNA (253 nucleotides) under uncultured bacterium. RNAcentral describes it as "partial 16S ribosomal RNA". It matches the Rfam family "Bacterial small subunit ribosomal RNA", at positions 524 to 776 of the family's 1533-position model. The record is from RNAcentral.